Long non-coding RNA from Herpailurus yagouaroundi (jaguarundi), 1747 nucleotides. RefSeq lists it as uncharacterized. NCBI's taxonomy places the organism in Eukaryota, Metazoa, Chordata, Mammalia, Carnivora, Felidae. The transcript has 2 exons. The record is from RefSeq and is a predicted model, not a curated record.
CCCUCCCUCCCUCCCUCCCUCCUGUGGCCUCAGCUCUGGGGAUACAGGCCGGGCGCCCAGUGUCUGUCCUGGGAGGUCCCAAGUGCGGGACAGUUUUCCCACCACCUGAGCGGUGACUGCUGUUUGAAAUGGGUGGAGGUCAGGUCCUCGGGUGCCCAUCGCUCUCCUGUAGCGUUUGGUCCCAGCCCCUCCCGUGCAGCAUCAUUGCCCACCCUUCAUUGUAGAACGAGCAUUUGCAGACUGGAGUGGCACUUUCGUCGGUCGGAGGAUCCAGCCUUACCCACCGACACCGACGUCUCUGACGGCCGGACCUCCCGUCCCUGACAAGCUGGCCACCUCUGGGGACAGCCGUUCCGUUGCUGACAGUGCUGUCCAGCCACGUCCUCCGGGCCCUGCCCUGGCCUGGCCCCGCCCGCUGGGACCCCCAGCCCUGCCUUCGCGUGUGAGCAUCCCCGCUGCUCCCUGGUGCCCCCAGCUUUCCUCUCUCAUCCCGCCCACCUCACUGCUCUAGAGCUGUCUCCCCCCCCACCCCAUGGACAGUGACACCCCGAAAGCAGGGCCGUGCUGUGUCUUUCCCUAGGUUGGAGUUUGACAUAUAAUCAGCGCCUAAUAAUUGCUAAGGGAGUGACACCUUUCAUGGUCAGAGUGGAUUUUGCUUUUUCUGGGAGCCAUCUGCCCUGUACCUUCCUGGCUGCGCCCUCAGAGGCUGUGUCUUCCCAAACAAGAACGAGGCUGGCCUCCUGACCCUGAACUGCCCCACUGGGCCUCCGCCCCGGCCUCUAUACACCUCUUUCUUUACUGCCAGUGGGCCGUGGUGUUCUCCUCUUCCAGAACAUCCUUCCCGACCACUCACUGGCUUCCCAAAUGUCGGUGUAACUGGGGGAUGGAUUGUCUGGUGCCCAUACUUCCCCUUGUCCUCCCUCUGUCCCAAAGCCCGGAGACACAGGACCCCUGAGAACUGCGUCGACCCUUCGGUGGCCACGCUUCUCCCUCUUCCUUUCUCCUUCCUUGGUGUUUUUUGAGCAUCUACUCUAUGCCCCGGUGGGGGUCCCGGAGACACACCCGAUGUCAGUGCCUCUCCCCUGCAAAUUUACCCCACUGUUACGUCCUCUGGGGACCCUGCUCUCAUUCCCACCCAGAUAGAUACCUACAGCGAGACGCCUGGUGGGGGAUCUGAGGACCCCGGCUCUAGAGUCCCGGUUUAGUUGUGUUUGGCUGCGUGACCCAGGCGAGCCACCUGCCUUCUCUCAGCCUCAGGAUCCGUCUCUUCCAAAUGGAUGUUUUGUCGUAAACAGUCUCUAAGGUUUCUUCUGCUUGUCCAGGGCUCAGCGAGCUUGCUUGGUACACGCAGCGGAACCCAGCCCCGUUUACACGCACGUCGCCUCGGCAAACGGGAAACAAAGGCGUGGUGCAGAGAGCUGGCGCUACGGAGAGGUGACACCAAGGACAGCAGGGGGACUGCUUAAUUUGUCAUCUUUGCAUAUCUCCAUGGCGUUGAGCGCCAGCUGGGAACAGAAGUCCUAAAAUACCCAAGCGAGGCCAUCUCUGCAGAAGGAGAGACUCUCAACGGAGCCAGCAAGACUCUCUCUCCUCCAAUUUAUGCAUCCUCAAAAAACUUUUAAGUGGAUUGGUUGAAAUCUUGUUUUCCCCCUAGUGUUCCUGUCUCUCAGUUCUCCCCUUUUAUACUCCAUGGUAUGUGUGAUUUCCAGAAAAAAAACAAAUCCCAAAUACAAUUAGCAGCUAGGAA